GAUGAACGCUGGCGGCGUGCCUAAUACAUGCAAGUCGAGCGAACAGACGAGGAGCUUGCUCCUCUGACGUUAGCGACGGACGGGUGAGUAACACGUGGAUAACCUACCUAUAAUUCUGGGAUAACUUCGGGAAACCGGAGCUACUACCGGAUCAUAUAUUGAACCGCAUGGUUCAAUAGUUAAAGACGGUUUUGCUGUCACUUUUAGAUGGUUCCGCGCCGCAUUAGCUAGUUGGUAAGGUAACGGCUUACCAAGGCAACGAUGCGUAGCCGACCUGAGAGGGUGAUCGGCCACACUGGAACUGAGACACGGUCCAGACUCCUACGGGAGGCAGCAGUAGGGAAUCUUCCGCAAUGGGCGAAAGCCUGACGGAGCAACGCCGCGUGAGUGAUGAAGGUCUUCGGAUCGUAAAACUCUGUUAUUAGGGAAGAACAAAUGUGUAAGUAACUAUGCACGUCUUGACGGUACCUAAUCAGAAAGCCACGGCUAACUACGUG
Molecule: ribosomal RNA, 497 nt
Filed under: uncultured bacterium
Lineage: Bacteria
Description: partial 16S ribosomal RNA
Rfam family: Bacterial small subunit ribosomal RNA
Source: RNAcentral